GAAAUGCGAUAAGUAAUGUGAAUUGCAGAAUUCAGUGAAUCAUCGAAUCUUUGAACGCACCUUGCGCUCCUUGGUAUUCCUUGGAGCAUGCCUGUUUGAGUGUCUUGAAUAUCUCUGCUCCUCAAUUUUUUAUUAAAUUGGCUUGGAGUCAGGUCCUUGGGCUUGCUUGCGGUUUGUUACGAACACAUGCUUGCCUUAAAUGUAUUAGCUGGAUUUCAGUAGAGUUGUUAAGUAACAUUGAAAACUCUCGUAAUAUGAAGUCUGCUUCUAACCCGAUGCCGUAAAAAAGCACAAUUAUUCAUUUCUUUGGCCUCAAAUCAGGUAGGACUACCCGCUGAACUUAA
This 344-nucleotide unclassified non-coding RNA is filed under the name uncultured Exobasidium. Its description in RNAcentral is "sequence contains ITS1". The stretch from base 1 to 105 matches the Rfam family "5.8S ribosomal RNA", at positions 50 to 154 of the family's 154-position model. The record is from RNAcentral. Lineage: Eukaryota; Fungi; Basidiomycota; Exobasidiomycetes; Exobasidiales; Exobasidiaceae.